AGGGGAAAGGGACCUCCCUCCCUCCCAAGGCUCAGCCAGGCAGCGGUGCAGGCUGAAGAGCAGUGCUGGGGAAUUCUGUCCUCCCAAGAUAAGCUUAGUGUUAGAGACACGAUCUGCAUGGCCAGCACUUCUGCUAUCAGUGACCAACCUCACUCCCACAGGUGUAGCUCAGGCCUCCUGCUCAGAGGGGCCUCCUGACUAGUGGCCCUGAGAUGAAAAUGGAGAUCACAGCAGAGGAGAUAAAGGCAAUUGUACCUGGACUUUGGUCAGGCUGUCCUGGAGAUGGCAGGCAGGUGGCCCAGCUAGACCCAUGGUGAAUGCUGACUUCCCAGCAGGGCCGAGUGCAGAUUUGCCACCACCAUGCUCUGGGAUUGACUGUGCCAGCUUUCAAAUCCCUGUAAGUCCCUCCAUCUUAGAGCCUCGAUUCCGAAUCCUGGAGGACAGAGCCUGGCAGAAGUCAUGAGCUCAGGACCACAGACAUCGCAGAUGUUGGAGACCGGCUUCUUGAAGGUCACACGGCUGGCAGCAGAGACACAUCCACGGCUGGAAUCCAGUAGUUCCAAGCUUGGGCUUCUCCCACAACCUGCUGGGCCUCCUCAUUGAGGGAACACGGAAUGGCUCCGCCAAAGUUGAGAGGAGAUAAUGGGGACCAUGAUUGGGACAGUGGAAGAUUUUAUUUUUGUUUGCUUGUUUAUUUACCUAUUCCAAAAUGAAAAUGGUUAACUAUU
Ictidomys tridecemlineatus (thirteen-lined ground squirrel) is the source of this 728-nucleotide non-coding RNA. Lineage: Eukaryota; Metazoa; Chordata; Mammalia; Rodentia; Sciuridae. The record is from RefSeq and is a predicted model, not a curated record.